Molecule: non-coding RNA, 389 nt
Organism: Paramormyrops kingsleyae
Lineage: Eukaryota; Metazoa; Chordata; Actinopteri; Osteoglossiformes; Mormyridae
Source: RefSeq, a predicted model, not a curated record
GUACCAAUUCAUUGAAUCUUUAGCACUGUGUUCAUUUACAAAGCAGGAAAGGUACAGGCCAUUUUAGGUCACUAUAAACAGUCUUGCUGGUUUGAUUUUUAUUUAUUUUUUCCCCCCCCUACCCUCAGUGAAGUAGAUGCUGCCUGUUUGGCCCGAGAGUACCUGAUGUACAGGGAGAAGGAGGGGGUCAAGCACCUUCCAUCAGAGUCUGCCGCACAGGAAGUCCUUAAGGCAUUUCUCGACAAAGGAAAUGAGUGAUCAGAAAUGCAAUGUUGGGACAAGGCACUUGCCCUAAAACUUCAUUUUUUGGUUUGUUUUUUCACUGUCUUUUGCAUACUAUUCAUGUUCAGAACUGUAAAUAAACUUGUAUGCCCUUGAAUUGUAUCACA